This 496-nucleotide ribosomal RNA is filed under the name uncultured bacterium. RNAcentral describes it as "partial 16S ribosomal RNA". It matches the Rfam family "Bacterial small subunit ribosomal RNA", at positions 28 to 506 of the family's 1533-position model. The record is from RNAcentral.
GAUGAACGCUGGCGGCGUGCCUAAUACAUGCAAGUCGAGCGAACAGAUGAGGAGCUUGCUCCUCUGACGUUAGCGGCGGACGGGUGAGUAACACGUGGAUAACCUACCUAUAAGACUGGGAUAACUUCGGGAAACCGGAGCUAAUACCGGAUAAUAUAUUGAACCGCAUGGUUCAAUAGUGGAAGACGGUUUUGCUGUCACUUAUAGAUGGAUCCGCGCCGCAUUAGCUAGUUGGUAAGGUAACGGCUUACCAAGGCAACGAUGCGUAGCCGACCUGAGAGGGGGAUCGGCCACACUGGAACUGAGACACGGUCCAGACUCCUACGGGAGGCAGCAGUAGGGAAUCUUCCGCAAUGGGCGAAAGCCUGACGGAGCAACGCCGCGUGAGUGAUGAAGGUCUUCGGAUCGUAAAACUCUGUUAUUAGGGAAGAACAAAUGUGUAAGUAACUAUGCACGUCUUGACGGUACCUAAUCAGAAAGCCACGGCUAACUACGU